CCACGUAGGCACCAAGCGUUAUCCGGAUUUAUUGGGCGUAAAGAGUUCGUAGGCGGUUCGAUAAGUCGGGUGUGAAAGCUCUGGGCUCGACCCAGAGAGGCCACCCGAUACUGUUGUGACUAGAGUACGGUAGGGGAACGGGGAAUUCCUGGUGUAGCGGUGAAAUGCGCAGAUAUCAGGAGGAACACCAGCGGCGAAGGCGCCGUUCUGGGCCGUUACUGACGCUGAGGAACGAAAGCAUGGGUAGCAAACAGGAUUAGAAACCCCAGUAGUCC
RNAcentral lists this ribosomal RNA (275 nucleotides) under uncultured bacterium. RNAcentral's name for it is "partial 16S ribosomal RNA". It matches the Rfam family "Bacterial small subunit ribosomal RNA", at positions 523 to 796 of the family's 1533-position model. The record is from RNAcentral.